GCUCUGAUCCCCGUUCUGCGCAUGCGCGAAAAAAGAAAAAAAGGUUAACGGCUCGGGCAACGUUUUUGUUUUGCUCAGAGGCUCGGCAAAUCGUCAGCGCGGGAAAGAUGGCAGUUGAAUGCGAGGUGCCCUCUCCAGUUCCCCUGAUGGAUCUGCGGAGUCGGAUAUCUGGCGCUGCGGAGAACCGAGCUGAUUGCAGUACCAGCACUCUGAAGCACUUAUUUGAGCAGGAAAGAUAAAGAGGAGCCGAUUACCCUUGAGAGGGAGGACCGGCUGCGGGCCGCACCCACGUGGAGACUGGAAGGGCGAGCCUCUCCAGGACAGCCCGUAUUUGGAUCUCCUGGUCUGAGCUGAUGAUUGCCAUCCUCCAGGCAUAAUCUCUGCUGAGAGGCUCGCCAUCGUGCAGCGCUAUGCAUUGCCAGAGCACGUGAGUGCUUUCUUGGAAACUUCCACAAGCGUCGUCCGAAAGGAAAGGGCCGCAGCCUUGCGGGAGACA
Molecule: long non-coding RNA, 496 nt
Organism: Rhipicephalus sanguineus (brown dog tick)
Lineage: Eukaryota; Metazoa; Arthropoda; Arachnida; Ixodida; Ixodidae
Exons: 5
Source: RefSeq, a predicted model, not a curated record